RNAcentral lists this long non-coding RNA (232 nucleotides) under Lathyrus oleraceus (garden pea). RNAcentral's name for it is "Pisum sativum (pea) long non-coding RNA (PSAT_LNC020111)". The record is from RNAcentral. Lineage: Eukaryota; Viridiplantae; Streptophyta; Magnoliopsida; Fabales; Fabaceae.
AUUUAGGUACCCAGACUGUUGCUCAAGUGCAACCGGUUCCGACCAUGAUUUGUGAGAUUUGUAGUGGACCACACUUUACCAUGCAUUGUGUUGCAACCGCAGAACAGGUGCAAGCAAUAAAUUACCUGAGGCAGAAUAAUCCCUACUCAAAUACUUAUAAUCCGGGGUGGAAAAAUCAUCCUAAUUUCUCUUGGAAAGAUCAGCAAGGUAAUAUUCAGAACCAAGGACCUCC